Molecule: ribosomal RNA, 675 nt
Filed under: uncultured bacterium
Lineage: Bacteria
Description: bacterial SSU rRNA
Rfam family: Bacterial small subunit ribosomal RNA
Source: RNAcentral
GAUUAGGCAUGCAAGUCGAACGAGGGAGUACUCCGAAAGGGGUACAAAUCGAGUGGCGUAAGGGUGAGUAAUGCAUUGAUAACCUACCUUUGAGAUGGGGAUAACAACGUCCCAAGCAAUUGGGGCUACCGAAAGGUUGUAAUACUCAAUAAAACUGUUGGUGCCUUGGUAUUGACAGUCAAAAANGUGGAAUCUUGAGAUUUCAUUUCUCAGAGAGGGGUCAAUGUCCUAUCGCUAGUUGGCAGGGUAAUGGCCUACCAAGGCGAAGACGGGUAGCCGGCCUGAGAGGGUGGUCGGCCACACUGGGACUGAGACACUGCCCAGACUCCUACGGGAGGCUGCAGUCGAGAAUCUUUCGCAAUGCCCGAAAGGGUGACGAAGCGACGCCGCGUGUGGGAAGAAGGCCUUCGGGUUGUAAACCACUGUCGGGAGUUAAGAACUGUAAGGAUGCUAAUAGUAUUCUUACUUGACUAAGGCUCCGGAGGAAGCCACGGCUAACUUUGUGCCAGCAGCCGCGGUAAUACAGAGGCGGCAAGCGUUGUUCGGAAUUAUUGGGCGUAAAGAGCAUGUAGGCGGCUAUGUAAGUCGGUUGUGAAAGCCUUCCGCUUAACGGAAGAAUGGCGGCCGAAACUGCAUGGCUUGAGUGCCGUAGGGGAGACUGGAACUUCUGGUGGA